AGUGGCAAUCCCAUUAUCAGUCCCUAUCCCAGCCCCACAGUGGUUUCAGCUCUAGCCCUGGAGAGCCCUUCCCAGCCCAAGUGAUUAUAGCUCUUGGCCCACAAGCUUUAUUUCACUGGCUGCUCUCUUCUUCCAGCUCCAGAUGCGUGUUUCUUCAAUGCUGCUGGCAGAAACUUCUCCAGGUACAAGGCGCAGGAUCUUCCUCCUGUCUCCAGCUUGGCAACAUUUCAGCUCCCACCCUAGGGCCUAGAAGCCCACCCAAAAGUCAAUGUCCCAGCCCCACAGUGAAUUCAGCACCAGCGCUACAGUGGCUAUCAAAGACGCAGGCAAAAUCCCUAACCCGAACCCAUUUCAGCUCCCCUGUUACGGUCCCAUUAUUUUGCCCCUACCCAUCUUGUUCUAUUUCCAGUCCCAGGACCCAGCCCCAACAUCCAUAUCCCAGGCCUACAGUGAUUCCAGCACACAGAUCCUACAGUGGCUAUGUCACUGUCAGUCCCUAUCCCAGCCCCACAGUGAUUUCAGCUCUUGGCCCACAAGCUUUAUUUCACUGCAAGCUCUCUUCUUCCAGCUCCAGAUGCGUGUUUCUUCAAUGCUGCUGGCAGAAACUUCUCCAGGUACAAGGCGCAGGAUCUUCCUCCUGUCUCCAGCUCGGCAACAUUUCAGCUCCCACCCUAGGGCCUAGAAGCCCACCCUACAGUCAAUGUCCCCGCCCCACUGUGAAUUCAGCACCAGCGCUACAGUGGCUAUCAAAGACGCAGGCAAAACCCUGGCACUGCCAGUAUUUCAGCUCCCAUGUUAUGGUCCCAUUAUUUUGCCCCUACCCAUCUUGUUCUAUUUCCAAUCACAGGACCCAGCCCCAACAUCCAUAUCACAGGCCUACAGUGAUUCCAGCAGACAGAUCCUACAGUGGCUAUCCCAUUAGCAGUCCCUAUCCCAGCCCCACAGUGAUUUCAGCACCAGUCCUACAAUGGCUAUCAAAGACGCAGUCAAAAUCACGGUACUGCCACCAUUUCAGGUCCCAUGUUACAGUCCCAUUAUUUUGCCCCUACGCAUCUUGUUCUAUUUCCAAUCACAGGACUCAGCCCCAACAUCCAUAUCACAGGCCUACAGUGAUUCCAGCACACAGAUCCUACAGUGGCAAUCCCAUUAGCAGUCCCUAUCCCAGCCCCACAGUGAUUUCAGCCGCAGCGCUACAGGGCUAUCAAAGACGCAGACAAAAUCCCUAACCCGAACCCAUUUCAGCUCCCCUGCUACGGUCCCAUUAUUUUGCCCCUACCCAUCUUGUUCUAUUUCCAAUCACAGGACCCAGCCCCAACAUCCAUAUCACAGCCUAAAGUGAUUCCAGCACACAGAUCCUACAGUGGCAAUCCCAUUAUCAGUCCCUAUCCCAGCCCACAGUGAUUUCAGCUCUUGCCCUGGAGAGCCCUUUCCCUGCCCCAGUGAUUUCAGCUCUUGGCCCACAAGCUUUAUUUGACUGCCAGCUCUUGUGUUGCGCUUCUGCCUCCUCAUCUUCCCAGCAUUGCCACAUCAUGCUGCUUUCUGGCUCUCCAGGCAGGAUUUCUGUUUUAGCUCUAGCUCUGUGGUUUGAGUUUAGCUCUUGAACCCACAUUCCAACCCCAACCUGACCAUCCUUACUGGAGGAACAGCUCUUCAAGGCCCUAUCCCAGCCCUUACUCUGACUUCAGCUCCAGCCACGCAGUUUGCAUCCCAGCUCCAUAUUCCUUAUCCCAGCCCCACAACAGUUUU
This is a long non-coding RNA of Cyanistes caeruleus (blue tit), 1746 nucleotides long. NCBI's taxonomy places the organism in Eukaryota, Metazoa, Chordata, Aves, Passeriformes, Paridae. The record is from Ensembl.